GGAAUCUUGCGCAAUGGACGGAAGUCUGACGCAGCGACGCCGCGUGGGUGAAGACGGCCUUCGGGUUGUAAAGCCCUUUUCUGGAGGAAGAGGGAGGACGGUACUCCAGGAAUAAGUGUCGGCUAACUACGUGCCAGCAGCCGCGGUAAUACGUAGGACACGAGCGUUAUCCGGAUUUACUGGGCGUAAAGCGCCUGUAGGCGGUUCUUCAAGUCGUUUGUGAAAGCCCUGGGCUCAACCUGGGGAGGCCAAGCGAUACUGGAGGACUUGAGGGUGACAGAGGGGAGUGGAAUUUCCGGUGUAGCGGUAAAAUGCGCAGAUAUCGGGAGGAACACCGAGUGGCGAAGGCGGCUCCCUGGGGUCACACCGAGACGGCUGAGAGGCGAAAGCUAGGGGAGCA
Molecule: ribosomal RNA, 400 nt
Filed under: uncultured bacterium
Lineage: Bacteria
Description: bacterial SSU rRNA
Rfam family: Bacterial small subunit ribosomal RNA
Source: RNAcentral